RNAcentral lists this ribosomal RNA (398 nucleotides) under uncultured bacterium. Its description in RNAcentral is "partial 16S ribosomal RNA". It matches the Rfam family "Bacterial small subunit ribosomal RNA", at positions 523 to 918 of the family's 1533-position model. The record is from RNAcentral.
AUACGUAGGGUGCGAGCGUUGUCCGGAAUUACUGGGCGUAAAGAGCUCGUAGGUGGUUUGUCGCGUCGUCUGUGAAAUUCCGGGGCUUAACUCCGGGCGUGCAGGCGAUACGGGCAUAACUUGAGUACUGUAGGGGAGACUGGAAUUCCUGGUGUAGCGGUGAACUGCGCAGAUAUCAGGAGGAACACCGGUGGCGAAGGCGGGUCUCUGGGCAGUAACUGACGCUGAGGAGCGAAAGCAUGGGUAGCGAACAGGAUUAGAUACCCUGGUAGUCCAUGCCGUAAACGGUGGGCGCUAGGUGUAGGGGUCUUCCACGACUUCUGUGCCGUAGCUAACGCAUUAAGCGCCCCGCCUGGGGAGUACGGCCGCAAGAUUAAAACUCAAAGGAAUUGACGGGG